Long non-coding RNA from Zophobas morio, 205 nucleotides. RefSeq lists it as uncharacterized. The transcript has 3 exons. NCBI's taxonomy places the organism in Eukaryota, Metazoa, Arthropoda, Insecta, Coleoptera, Tenebrionidae. The record is from RefSeq and is a predicted model, not a curated record.
GAAGAUUUGCCUGCUCUACAAAUCCUUAAAUACGAAAAUAAAAGCAAUGAAGAAAUUGCUGAGUUUUUAAAAGACUCUGGAAAUCUUGAGUAUAAAAAAGGGAAAAAAACAGAUUUGAAAAACGCGAUUCGCUUGUACACCGAAGCUAUAAAGCGUGGCCUUCAAGAUGAGAAACUUCUUAUUUCUUUAUAUAAUAAUAAGGCGU